AUUUUUAGUCCUGGGAAAACUUGAGGCAAAAAGAGGUGAAAUGACUUGUCCAGAUCACAUUAUAAAUCAGCAGUUGAAUGAGGAUAGAGUCUAAGUCUACACAUACUGUCUCAUUCUGACUCCCAAGAAAGUAGCCAGGGAAAGACAGACAGUGAAGGUGUUUUUCUUCAGGCCCUGUCUCUUCAGAGGACUGAAUGGUGAAUCUAUGACAUGCGUUCUGGUGCAUGCCAGAGGGGGCUGCUCCCUUCUCUCUCCCCAUGCAUGCCUGAGGACAUUUCUCCCAUCACCUGCCUCUCUGCCCAGCAACCCAAUGGGAGUGCUUUCUCCCUCUCCAGUCUGGGGAUCUCCAUGAUCAAAGGAGGUACUUUCUUCAAAACCAGUGGCAUGAUUAUAGAAAGAAUUUUAAAAUAAAUUAUUAGGAAUAAGUAUGAGCUCUUUCUUUUUUCUUUUUCUUUUUCUUUUUUUUUUUAAACCCUUACUUUCUGCCCUAGAACCAAUUUUGGUCCUAAGGCAGAAGUACAGUAAAGGGUUAGGCAAUCAAGUAAAAUAUACUUUUCAAAAAUGACUUCCCCUCCCACCUCAAAUUGAGAAUUACAAUUUCUAACGGUGUGUGUCCUUCCUCACU
This is a long non-coding RNA of Monodelphis domestica (gray short-tailed opossum), 625 nucleotides long. The record is from Ensembl. NCBI's taxonomy places the organism in Eukaryota, Metazoa, Chordata, Mammalia, Didelphimorphia, Didelphidae.